RNAcentral lists this microRNA precursor (71 nucleotides) under Tursiops truncatus (common bottlenose dolphin). RNAcentral describes it as "miRNA (ENSTTRG00000024986.1)". Lineage: Eukaryota; Metazoa; Chordata; Mammalia; Artiodactyla; Delphinidae. The record is from RNAcentral.
GCUGGCCAAAAAGUUCAUUCUGGUUUUUCCAUAACACCUUACAAAAAACCCGAAUGAAUGUUUUGGCCAAC